This 1104-nucleotide long non-coding RNA is filed under the name Mus musculus (house mouse). RNAcentral describes it as "long non-coding RNA chr4:141536530-141537634". The record is from RNAcentral. Lineage: Eukaryota; Metazoa; Chordata; Mammalia; Rodentia; Muridae.
ACAGGGGGUCAAACUCCAGGUCUGAGGCAAGCCGUGCCUCUGAAAUCUGCAUGAUGUAAAAUGUCAAGUCUGACCACCCAACACAGGAGCAGAGCGAAUGAGGCGAUGCACGUGUUUGCACGUCGGGUGCGUAUCAAUUUCCCAUGCAGAGACCCAUGGAAGAGCCACUGGGCGAUUUAAAGGAGGUACAGCGCAGAGGGGUUUCCACUCCAGAACCUAAGAAAGCGGAGUGCUAUCUUCUCCACGCUGAGGACCUGCUACUAGAGGGCAGAGACCCGAGCCGAGGGGUGGAGCAGCACGGGCAGAGAAAGUUCCCAUCUGCUGGCGCUCCAGCUGCUGCAGUCCCCUUUCAUCCCCGGGCACCCCGGCCAACACUCCAUCUCCGGACCUCCCCCUCUCCCGUGUCUCAGACACAACGUAGUAAACACCCGGAGUCCCAGGCAGCGCGCACCUCCCCCAGGCCUGCGGAGGACAUCCCGGCAGGUUAUGAAUGGCCUCACUAUACCCAGCUCCUUUUCACACGCGGGCACGCGCACACGCGCGCCCCGGAGGCGAAGAUUUAAUACCCCCGGUCAGAGCAACGGCCAACAGAAUCAAUGGCCCUCCAUCAGAGAGAGAGAAAGGAAGGCGCUCACGCUUCCCAGGCCUCACCAAAGAGGUUCUAGACCGGGCGACACAACCCAUUUUCCCAGGUUGACUCUAAUGUGAGGACGUUCCUUCUCCUAAUUAUAUUCCCUGCACCGACUGGAUAGUGGGAAUUCAGAGUACGCCCAACUUGGAACCUUCCAGGGUAUUGGAUAUCAGGAGAAGUGAAUUUCCACAGGCGAUCGCAGAUUUGCUACGUUCUUUCUCAAUGUGCGGAAAGUAUGAAUAAAUUCUCAUUGUAAGUGGGGUUGCAUGCUGAGGCCUCUACCAGUUACCCGGACACGCGUUUCUGGGAGCAAAUAAGCGCUAAAUGCUACCAACGGGUAUGAAAAGCAGCAUUUACUUCUUUUCCUUCCACAAGCAAAAAGUAUUUAGAGAAACCGAAAAGUCAUACCUAAUCGCUAAAAUUUUGCACUUUUUGGCUACUUCACUAACGAAUUCGAGGUGAAGGGUCUAUUG